RNAcentral lists this ribosomal RNA (256 nucleotides) under uncultured Russulaceae. RNAcentral's name for it is "partial large subunit ribosomal RNA". It matches the Rfam family "Eukaryotic large subunit ribosomal RNA", at positions 72 to 319 of the family's 3401-position model. Lineage: Eukaryota; Fungi; Basidiomycota; Agaricomycetes; Russulales; Russulaceae. The record is from RNAcentral.
GGAUUCCCCUAGUAACUGCGAGUGAAGCGGGAAAAGCUCAAAUUUAAAAUCUGGUGGCCUUUGGCCAUCCGAGUUGUAAUUUAGAGAAGCGUCUUCCGCGCUGGACCGUGCACAAGUCUCCUGGAAUGGAGCGUCAUAGAGGGUGAGAAUCCCGUCUUUGGCACGGAUGCACCAGGGCUUUUGUGAUGCGCUCUCGAAGAGUCGAGUUGUUUGGGAAUGCAGCUCAAAAUGGGUGGUGAACUCCAUCUAAAGCUAA